Molecule: long non-coding RNA, 542 nt
Filed under: Gossypium raimondii (Peruvian cotton)
Lineage: Eukaryota; Viridiplantae; Streptophyta; Magnoliopsida; Malvales; Malvaceae
Description: long non-coding RNA (GRAI_LNC009839)
Source: RNAcentral
UUUGGUAGGCUUAUAUUAUAUUGUUUGUAAACUUAUAUCAGAAUGAGUCUGCUAGUUCAAGUGGUAAGGUGUUAGCUUGCCUUGAGGUCUUGUGUUUGAAUCCUGUGUGAGCGUGGAUGCUAAUUUUUGCUCUUAUGAGUGUUUCGGUGGUAUAGUAGAGGUUCAGUGGAAGUGGAAGUCUGUGGUAAUGGAUGAGAGUAAUUGGUUAGUUUUGGGAGGAUUUUUUAGUUAGUGGGAUAAUGGGGAGUUGGGAUAAUCUUUUUUAUUAUUUUUAUUUUCUUUUUAUUUUAUUUUUCCUCUCUCCUAAAAUCAAUCAGUUCUUUUAACAUAUUUUUCUUUGGGUUUUCUUUCUUUUGUUUUUCUUCAUCUACUUUCCUAUUCAAGAAUUUCAAGUUUGGUUUGGGGAAAUCUUUGUUGUGCAAGUUAGAUUGCUAUUGUUUUAGGGAAAUUGUGAGUCAGUGGGUGUUUCUCCAGCAAAGUGAUUGUUUCGAGGUUACUAGGAUCAUCACCUUUGGAAGUACUCUAAAAUAUAACCAGGAGUG